AGAGUUUGAUCCUGGCUCAGGAUGAACGCUGGCGGCGGGCUUACCAUGUGGGUCGCACGAUGAAGCCCAGCUUGCUGGGUGGAUUAGUGGCGAACGGGUGAGUAACACGUGAGUAACCUGCCCUUAACUCUGGGAUAAGCCUGGGAAACUGGGUCUAAUACCGGAUAGGAGCGCCCACCGCAUGGUGGGUGUUGGAAAGUAUCUUAUCCGGUUUUGAAGAUGGACUCGGCGGCCUAUCAGCUUGUUGGUGAGGUAAUGGCUCACACAAGGCGACGACGGGUAGCCGGCCUGAAGAGGGUGACCGGCCACACUGGGACUGAGAACACGGCCCAGACUCCUACGGGAGGCAGCAGUGGGGAAUAUUGCACAAUGGGCGCAAGCCUGAUGCAGCGACGCCGCGUGAGGGAUGACGGCCUUCGGGUUGUAAACCUCUUUCAGUAGGGAAGAAGCGAAAGUGACGGUACCUGCAGAAGAAGCACCGGCUAACUACGUGCCAGCAGCCGCGGUAAUACGUAGGGUGCGAGCGUUAUCCGGAAUUAUUGGGCGUAAAGAGCUCGUAGGCGGUUUGUCGCGUCUGUCGUGAAAGUCCGGGGCUUAACCCCGGAUCUGCGGUGGGUACGGGCAGACUAGAGUGCAGUAGGGGAGACUGGAAUUCCUGGUGUAGCGGUGGAAUGCGCAGAUAUCAGGAGGAACACCGAUGGCGAAGGCAGGUCUCUGGGCUGUAACUGACGCUGAGGAGCGAAAGCAUGGGGAGCGAACAGGAUUAGAUACCCUGGUAGUCCAUGCCGUAAACGUUGGGCACUAGGUGUGGGGACCAUUCCACGGUUUCCGCGCCGCAGCUAACGCAUUAAGUGCCCCGCCUGGGGAGUACGGCCGCAAGGCUAAAACUCAAAGGAAUUGACGGGGGCCCGCACAAGCGGCGGAGCAUGCGGAUUAAUUCGAUGCAACGCGAAGAACCUUACCAAGGCUUGACAUGUUCUCGAUCGCCGUAGAGAUACGGUUUCCCCUUUGGGGCGGGUUCACAGGUGGUGCAUGGUUGUCGUCAGCUCGUGUCGUGAGAUGUUGGGUUAAGUCCCGCAACGAGCGCAACCCUCGUUCCAUGUUGCCAGCACGUAAUGGUGGGGACUCAUGGGAGAACUGGCCGGGGUCAACUCGGAGGAAGGUGAAGGACGACGUCAAAUCAUCAUGCCCCUUAUGUCUUGGGGCUUCACGCAUGCUACAAUGGGCCGGGUACAAUGGGUUGCGAUACCUGUGAGCGUGGAGCUAAUCCCAAAAAGCCGGUCUCAGUUCGGAUUGGGGUCUGCAACUCGACCCCAUGAAGUCGGAGUCGCUAGUAAUCGCAGAUCAGCAACGCUGCGGUGAAUACGUUCCCGGGCCUUGUACACACCGCCCGUCAAGUCACGAAAGUUGGUAACACCCGAAGCCGGUAGCCUAACCCUUGUGGGGGGAGCCGUCGAAGGUGGGACCAGCGAUUGGGACUAAGUCGUAACAAGGUAACCGUA
This 1502-nucleotide ribosomal RNA is filed under the name Micrococcus sp. BYMS10. RNAcentral's name for it is "bacterial SSU rRNA". It matches the Rfam family "Bacterial small subunit ribosomal RNA". Lineage: Bacteria; Bacillati; Actinomycetota; Actinomycetes; Micrococcales; Micrococcaceae. The record is from RNAcentral.